GGGGGUACGGAAAACUGGGGACAGAGA
This 27-nucleotide non-coding RNA is filed under the name Cricetulus griseus (Chinese hamster). The record is from RNAcentral. Lineage: Eukaryota; Metazoa; Chordata; Mammalia; Rodentia; Cricetidae.